This 31-nucleotide non-coding RNA is filed under the name Homo sapiens (human). The record is from RNAcentral. Lineage: Eukaryota; Metazoa; Chordata; Mammalia; Primates; Hominidae.
UUGAUUUGACACACCUCCCUACACUUACCCC